RNAcentral lists this ribosomal RNA (1931 nucleotides) under Klebsiella pneumoniae. RNAcentral describes it as "partial 23S ribosomal RNA". It matches the Rfam family "Bacterial large subunit ribosomal RNA", at positions 398 to 2316 of the family's 2925-position model. Lineage: Bacteria; Pseudomonadati; Pseudomonadota; Gammaproteobacteria; Enterobacterales; Enterobacteriaceae. The record is from RNAcentral.
UGUGAACUCGAAGAGUAGGGCGGGACACGUGGUAUCCUGUCUGAAUAUGGGGGGACCAUCCUCCAAGGCUAAAUACUCCUGACUGACCGAUAGUGAACCAGUACCGUGAGGGAAAGGCGAAAAGAACCCCGGCGAGGGGAGUGAAAAAGAACCUGAAACCGUGUACGUACAAGCAGUGGGAGCACCUUCGGGUGUGACUGCGUACCUUUUGUAUAAUGGGUCAGCGACUUAUAUUCUGUAGCAAGGUUAACCGUAUAGGGGAGCCGCAGGGAAACCGAGUCUUAACUGGGCGUUAAGUUGCAGGGUAUAGACCCGAAACCCGGUGAUCUAGCCAUGGGCAGGUUGAAGGUUGGGUAACACUAACUGGAGGACCGAACCGACUAAUGUUGAAAAAUUAGCGGAUGACUUGUGGCUGGGGGUGAAAGGCCAAUCAAACCGGGAGAUAGCUGGUUCUCCCCGAAAGCUAUUUAGGUAGCGCCUCGUGAAUUCAUCUUCGGGGGUAGAGCACUGUUUCGGCUAGGGGGUCAUCCCGACUUACCAACCCGAUGCAAACUACGAAUACCGAAGAAUGUUAUCACGGGAGACACACGGCGGGUGCUAACGUCCGUCGUGAAGAGGGAAACAACCCAGACCGCCAGCUAAGGUCCCAAAGUCAUGGUUAAGUGGGAAACGAUGUGGGAAGGCACAGACAGCCAGGAUGUUGGCUUAGAAGCAGCCAUCAUUUAAAGAAAGCGUAAUAGCUCACUGGUCGAGUCGGCCUGCGCGGAAGAUGUAACGGGGCUAAACCAUGCACCGAAGCUGCGGCAGCGACACUAUGUGUUGUUGGGUAGGGGAGCGUUCUGUAAGCCUGCGAAGGUGACCUGUGAGGGUUGCUGGAGGUAUCAGAAGUGCGAAUGCUGACAUAAGUAACGAUAAAGCGGGUGAAAAGCCCGCUCGCCGGAAGACCAAGGGUUCCUGUCCAACGUUAAUCGGGGCAGGGUGAGUCGACCCCUAAGGCGAGGCCGAAAGGCGUAGUCGAUGGGAAACAGGUUAAUAUUCCUGUACUUGGUGUUACUGCGAAGGGGGGACGGAGAAGGCUAUGUUAGCCGGGCGACGGUUGUCCCGGUUUAAGCAUGUAGGCUGGUUGUCCAGGCAAAUCCGGAUAAUCAAGGCUGAGGUGUGAUGACGAGGCACUACGGUGCUGAAGUAACAAAUGCCCUGCUUCCAGGAAAAGCCUCUAAGCAUCAGGUAACAUCAAAUCGUACCCCAAACCGACACAGGUGGUCAGGUAGAGAAUACCAAGGCGCUUGAGAGAACUCGGGUGAAGGAACUAGGCAAAAUGGUGCCGUAACUUCGGGAGAAGGCACGCUGGUGUGUAGGUGAAGUCCCUGCGGAUGGAGCUGAGACCAGUCGAAGAUACCAGCUGGCUGCAACUGUUUAUUAAAAACACAGCACUGUGCAAACACGAAAGUGGACGUAUACGGUGUGACGCCUGCCCGGUGCCGGAAGGUUAAUUGAUGGGGUUAUCCGUAAGGAGAAGCUCUUGAUCGAAGCCCCGGUAAACGGCGGCCGUAACUAUAACGGUCCUAAGGUAGCGAAAUUCCUUGUCGGGUAAGUUCCGACCUGCACGAAUGGCGUAAUGAUGGCCAGGCUGUCUCCACCCGAGACUCAGUGAAAUUGAACUCGCUGUGAAGAUGCAGUGUACCCGCGGCAAGACGGAAAGACCCCGUGAACCUUUACUAUAGCUUGACACUGAACAUUGAGCCUUGAUGUGUAGGAUAGGUGGGAGGCUUUGAAGCGUGGACGCCAGUCUGCGUGGAGCCAACCUUGAAAUACCACCCUUUAAUGUUUGAUGUUCUAACGUUGGCCCCUUACCGGGGUUGCGGACAGUGUCUGGUGGGUAGUUUGACUGGGGCGGUCUCCUCCCAAAGCGUAACGGAGGAGCACGAAGG